AAACAGGCUCUUUUAAGAGUUACCCAUACUUAAAAAAUGUAGAAC
Salmo salar (Atlantic salmon) is the source of this 45-nucleotide non-coding RNA. NCBI's taxonomy places the organism in Eukaryota, Metazoa, Chordata, Actinopteri, Salmoniformes, Salmonidae. The record is from Rfam.